UACGGGGGGAGCGACCGUUGUUCGGAAUCACUGGGCGUAAAGGGCGCGUAGGCGGGGAGGUAAGUCGGGUGUGAAAUCCCUCGGCCCAACCGAGGAACUGCGCCCGAGACUGCUUCUCUUGAGUCCCGGAGAGGAAGAUGGAAUUCCCGGUGUAGCGGUGAAAUGCGUAGAUAUCAAGAGGAACACCUGAGGUGAAGACGGGUUGCUGGGCUGACACUGACGCUGAGGCGCGAAAGCUAGGGUAGCAAACGGG
Molecule: ribosomal RNA, 253 nt
Filed under: uncultured bacterium
Lineage: Bacteria
Description: partial 16S ribosomal RNA
Rfam family: Bacterial small subunit ribosomal RNA
Source: RNAcentral